CCUACGGGUGACAGCAGUGGGGAAUAUUGCACAAUGGGGGGAACCCUGAUGCAGCAACGCCGCGUGGGUGAAGAAGUACUCCGGUAUGUAAAGCCCUGUCAGCAGGGGAGAAAAUGACGGUACCUCUUGAAUAAGCCACGGCUAACUACGUGCCAGCAGCCGCGGUAAUACGUAGGUGGCAAGCGUUGUCCGGAUUUACUGGGUGUAAAGGGCGUGCAGCCGGGAAGACAAGUCAGAUGUGAAAUCCCGCGGCUCAACCGCGGAACUGCAUUUGAAACUGUUUUUCUUGAGUACCGGAGAGGUCAUCGGAAUUCCUUGUGUAGCGGUGAAAUGCGUAGAUAUAAGGAAGAACACCAGUGGCGAAGGCGGAUGACUGGACGGCAACUGACGGUGAGGCGCGAAAGCGUGGGGAGCAAACAGGAUUAGAUACCCUAGUAGUC
RNAcentral lists this ribosomal RNA (440 nucleotides) under uncultured bacterium. RNAcentral's name for it is "partial 16S ribosomal RNA". It matches the Rfam family "Bacterial small subunit ribosomal RNA", at positions 338 to 795 of the family's 1533-position model. The record is from RNAcentral.